This is a microRNA precursor of Amphiprion ocellaris (clown anemonefish), 63 nucleotides long. The record is from Ensembl. NCBI's taxonomy places the organism in Eukaryota, Metazoa, Chordata, Actinopteri, Pomacentridae.
UUUAAUUAGUACAGCCUGUAUUAGUAAUGUCAUCUAUUCUUUACAGGCUAUGCUAAUCUAUGC